Molecule: ribosomal RNA, 495 nt
Filed under: uncultured bacterium
Lineage: Bacteria
Description: partial 16S ribosomal RNA
Rfam family: Bacterial small subunit ribosomal RNA
Source: RNAcentral
GAUGAACGCUGGCGGCGUGCCUAAUACAUGCAAGUCGAGCGAACAGACGAGGAGCUUGCUCCUCUGACGUUAGCGGCGGACGGGUGAGUAACACGUGGAUAACCUACCUAUAAGACUGGGAUAACUUCGGGAAACCGGAGCUAAUACCGGAUAAUAUAUUGAACCGCAUGGUUCAAUAGUGAAAGACGGUUUUGCUGUCACUUAUAGAUGGAUCCGCGCCGCAUUAGCUAGUUGGUAAGGUAACGGCUUACCAAGGCAACGAUGCGUAGCCGACCUGAGAGGGGGACGGCCACCAUGGAAUAGGACACCGGGCCAAACCUCCUGGGGGGGGCAGAGUGGGGAAUUUUCCCGAAAGGGGGAAAGCCCGAAGGAGGAACGCCGGGGGGGGUGAGAAGGUUUUCGGAUCGUAAAACUUUUUUAUUAGGGAAAAAAAAAUUGUGAAGGAAAUAAGCCCGUUUUGAAGGGAACUAAACAAAAAGCCCCGGGCAACCUAGG